AUCCAGUGACGAGUCCCAAAUAGGAUGAAAUGCGCAUAAUGGAU
RNAcentral lists this non-coding RNA (44 nucleotides) under Trichobilharzia regenti. The record is from RNAcentral. Lineage: Eukaryota; Metazoa; Platyhelminthes; Trematoda; Strigeidida; Schistosomatidae.